CAGGCAAGAAGGAAUAUGUGAAGGCACUGCCGGGGCACCUGAAGCCUUUCGAGACGCUGCUGUCCCAGAACCAGGGGGGCCAGGCCUUCAUCGUGGGCGACCAGAUCUCCUUCGCGGACUACAACCUGCUGGACUUGCUGCUGAUCCACCAGGUCCUGGCCCCCGGCUGCCUGGACUCCUUCCCCCUGCUCUCGGCCUACGUGGCGCGCCUCAGCGCCCGGCCCAAGCUCAAGGCCUUCCUGGCCUCCCCUGAGCACGUGAACCGUCCCAUCAACGGCAACGGGAAGCAGUGAGAGUUUGCAGCACCCUCGGCGGGAGGUGGGGGCUGCCUGCCUCCCUUUCCUGGGGACCAAUAAAAUUUCCAAGCGAGAA
Molecule: non-coding RNA, 372 nt
Organism: Puma concolor (puma)
Lineage: Eukaryota; Metazoa; Chordata; Mammalia; Carnivora; Felidae
Source: RefSeq, a predicted model, not a curated record